GUUGUGUGUAGCAACAACGUUUAGUUCACGAGUUAUUGAACGCGGAAGUCCGCGAAUGUGCGAAUAUAAAACCAACUUUACCUAAGUAACCUAUCCUGGCAAGCGGGACAGAAAUUAUUAGUUCUCUGGAACCUUAUUGUCCGAGUCAUUCGUUAUUUUGUCACGUUACAGCCGUAUGUGCAUAGCGUAUACGGCUGUCACGUUACAAAUGAACGAACGACUUGGACCAGAAGACUCGAGUUCAGUUUUGCCAAUUUAGCGACUCGCUAGAUUAAGAGACUUUUCAUACAUCUUUAGCGACUUUUUUAUUAAAAAGCGUUUGGCGACAAACCUUAGCUACAUUACGCUACAACUUUUGUUGAUUUGUCCAAUAGAGAGACUACCACAUACCUGCUGACAUGAUCAGCCAUGAGGUUGCUAAGAAAGGCCAGGACAUCCUGAGCGAGGUGCAAUACCGUACACACCUGCACCAGUGGACAUGCCACCCUGAACAGAAUGAUAUCAUCCGUGUCCACAAGGUUAAUGAGAUCUUGAAUGAUGUAUUUUACAAAGAUUACCUUAACUGGAUGAAAGGUGAUGGCUGUUAUAGCUGGGAUACUCCUGAGAUUGUGCGAGCCAAGAAGUCAUAUGAGCUACAAAGUGAGAUCAAGUACAAAGCCGAAGGGAAGAAGGAAAUGAACAACUGCUCCAUCGUGACAGACACCCCUGUAUAUGUGACUGCCAUCGUGGGCCACACUUGGGCUAGUGAGGUUUCU
Xyrauchen texanus (razorback sucker) is the source of this 755-nucleotide long non-coding RNA. RefSeq lists it as uncharacterized. Lineage: Eukaryota; Metazoa; Chordata; Actinopteri; Cypriniformes; Catostomidae. The record is from RefSeq and is a predicted model, not a curated record. The transcript has 3 exons.